RNAcentral lists this ribosomal RNA (231 nucleotides) under uncultured bacterium. Its description in RNAcentral is "partial 16S ribosomal RNA". It matches the Rfam family "Bacterial small subunit ribosomal RNA", at positions 118 to 350 of the family's 1533-position model. The record is from RNAcentral.
UGAGUAACCUGCCCUGGACUUUGGGAUAACCCUCGGAAACGGGGGCUAAUACCGGAUAUGACGGCUCACCGCAUGGUAUGGUUGUGGAAAGUUUUUCGGUCUGGGAUGGGCUCGCGGCCUAUCAGCUUGUUGGUGGGGUGAUGGCCUACCAAGGCGACGACGGGUAGCCGGCCUGAGAGGGUGACCGGCCACACUGGGACUGAGACACGGCCCAGACUCCUACGGGAGGCA